This 486-nucleotide ribosomal RNA is filed under the name uncultured bacterium. RNAcentral's name for it is "bacterial SSU rRNA". It matches the Rfam family "Bacterial small subunit ribosomal RNA", at positions 29 to 524 of the family's 1533-position model. The record is from RNAcentral.
AAUGAACGCUGGCGGCGCGCCUAAUACAUGCAAGUCGAGCGAGAAGACGUAGCAAUACGUUUGUAAAGCGGCGAACGGGUGAGGAAUACAUGGGUAACCUACCCUAGAGUGGGGAAUAACUAGCCGAAAGGUUAGCUAAUACCGCGUACGCUCCUUGGACUUCGGUUCAGGGAGGAAAGCGAUGCCGAGGGUAUCGCGCUCUUGGAUGGGCUCAUGUCCUAUCAGCUUGUUGGGAGGUAACGGCUCACCAAGGCUUCGACGGGUAGCUGGUCUGAGAGGACGAUCAGCCACACUGGGACUGAGACACGGCCCAGACUCCUACGGGAGGCAGCAGUGGGGAAUCUUGCGCAAUGGGCGAAAGCCUGACGCAGCCAUGCCGCGUGAGUGAAGAAGGUCUUAGGAUUGUAAAGCUCUUUCGCUCGUGACGAUGAUGACGGUAACGAGAGAAGAAGCCCCGGCUAACUUCGUGCCAGCAGCCGCAGUAAC